This 564-nucleotide long non-coding RNA is filed under the name Capsicum annuum. RNAcentral's name for it is "long non-coding RNA (CANN_LNC009282)". Lineage: Eukaryota; Viridiplantae; Streptophyta; Magnoliopsida; Solanales; Solanaceae. The record is from RNAcentral.
UCCCCUUUUUGGCUUGAUUUUUUUUAAAAUAUUCUUGAUACUCCUUCUUCUUGUGCACGAUCUUCGUUCUUCAUAUAUAUUCUUCACAUAUCGCUGUUGUUUGACAUACUUUAAAAAUUGAAGCUUUUGGGUUAAAAGUAUAUGAGCCCUUUUCGGGUUAAAAAUAUUGGAGCCCUUUUGCAGGAUUAAAUGUGAGCUUUAUUUUCAAAUAUGUGACAGCAGAAUUGUUGAAAAUAUGAUUAACAAUUAUCUCCACUUGUAGCUUUUGGACAUAUAUCUUCAUUAUCAUCAAAUUGAUUGCAACUUUAUUCAACAAUUGAACCAUCGAUUUAUUGGACCGUGAGCUUUGAUACCACUUGUUGGGUUCGAAAUCGAGAGUGUGUCAUGCGGAAGCUUAACGUUUGCAAACCUUGAGACAAUAAAUCAGACGACAAAGAAAAUAAUACUAAAAAAAUAUAAAAUUAUUAUAUGUUUUGGCCAAUCGGCCUACAUAUUAUAAAAUCUAACAUAAAAAACAUUAAACCUAUUGGGAGAAAUCUCCACCUAAACAAAGACUCUUUAAUG